Molecule: unclassified non-coding RNA, 1578 nt
Filed under: Hevea brasiliensis (rubber tree)
Lineage: Eukaryota; Viridiplantae; Streptophyta; Magnoliopsida; Malpighiales; Euphorbiaceae
Source: RNAcentral
GCCAUGCAGGAUUUCAGUUACAGUAUUCAUUGCGGUAAUUUUCAUAACCCUAUUACUAACAUUACACACGUAUUACAUUAUAUAUAUAAAAUUAAUUAUUUAUAUCAUGUGAUAUUUUUAUAGAAUUUAAAAAUUAUUACACAAUAAGAUAAUAAAUUCAAAGGCAAAGGCCUUGUGCUGGGCACACAAAAACUUGGACACUACCCCCUCAAAGUCAUAACGCUUGCUGCGAGCUUUGGAAACUCCAACACCAGCCUUAAGUUUCUCAAGGUCUCAUGGACAUUAGCUAGAGCAGGGAAUGAAUGCAAUAUCUACAAACCCCAACGCGUCUUCUCCGAAACAGGCCCUCUUCCCAAUCCCAAGCUACCCUUCCAUCACUUUAAAGCCUUCAAAUGAGUUCCUUUUCUGCUGCCCAACAAAGCAGGUUCAUUCUUUUUAUCAACAAAAUCAGCCCAAAACCGGGCAUGAGCUCUCUUGCAAUGGUCAGAAGAAGGCAGCAAAGGAGACUUGUGCUUCCAUACCUCAUCAAUGUACUGAACUAUGAUCAGUGAUUCCGAUAUGGGCUUCCCUCGUGUAUCAAGAGGGAUUUGCUUAUAGACUGGGUUCUUUUCUCAAAGCAGUGAGCUCUUGUUGCUCAAAUCCCAUCCUUGGACUCAUACUCUAUUCCCUUCUCAGCCACAGCAAUUUUCUCCUGGCUGCAUAAGAAGUAACCCACAAAUCCAAUAAGACCACUUCUUUACAUAUUCGCUGAGUUUCCCCGAAUUUUGGCUCUUAAAAAUCUUCAAAAUCAAUUAUUUGUCUUCCUCCAGAUAUUGCAUGCAAAAAGAAUGAACUGGAAAAAUUAAGCAAUAAAAUGGCUGGAUUAACUGUGAAUGCUUGGGAAACGGCACAUCAGAAAUUUGUGUCAUUUACCCAUCAAUCCAAAAACAUAUUUGGAUAUGAAUACACACGGAUAGAGAUAAAGAGAAGAGAUGGGGGAAAUAACUUACCAGAGAGGAUCUGACAGUAAGAUUUGGUGGCUUUUGGGUACAAUAAGAUAAACAAGGAAGUAAGAUCUGGUUUCUUUUGGUAGAGUGGAGUGGGCGAGAAGCAAUGAGAGAAAGAGGGAGAAAUUAACUGUGAGCAUAGAGGGUGUGGCUUGGUGGCAGCGGGAAGGCUGGAAUUCUUUUGGAGCUGUCGGGGACUUUGGAGAUUGCAGAGACAUAGAACUAUCAGUGCAGAGGAGUUUAGAUGAUAAAAUUGGGGCUUCUCGGGUUUUGACAGAUUAUUCUAUCAACCAACCAAAAGUAAAUAAACCAUUUCGACCUGAUCUUGUCAUUUAAACCGAAAAGUCGGUUUGAUUAGAUUGGACCAGUUGGGUUGGUGGGUUCUAUUCAAAAUGUGAAUAGCCCCAGGGGCUGGAACAGAGCAUGGAGAAAAGAAUUUCAGAUUAGAUGUAUGCAUGGGAUUGCUAGAGAAAUUUAUGAAAUCUGAUCUUCAAGUCCUUUUUAAUGAAUAUGAAUGUCUAUAGCUAUGUCUAUAGCUGGGAUUCUUGUUCUAGUAUAUUGAUAGGGAUGGAAUCAGGAAAAGGCCCAGAAG